AGUGAACGCUGGCGGUAGGCCUAACACAUGCAAGUCGAACGGCAGCACAGUAAGAGCUUGCUCUUACGGGUGGCGAGUGGCGGACGGGUGAGGAAUACAUCGGAAUCUACUUUUUCGUGGGGGAUAACGUAGGGAAACUUACGCUAAUACCGCAUACGACCUACGGGUGAAAGCAGGGGAUCUUCAGACCUUGCGCGAUUGAAUGAGCCGAUGUCGGAUUAGCUAGUUGGCGGGGUAAAGGCCCACCAAGGCGACGAUCCGUAGCUGGUCUGAGAGGAUGAUCAGCCACACUGGAACUGAGACACGGUCCAGACUCCUACGAGAGGCAGCAGUGGGGAAUAUUGGACAAUGGGCGCAAGCCUGAUCCAGCCAUACCGCGUGGGUGAAGAAGGCCUUCGGGUUGUAAAGCCCUUUUGUUGGGAAAGAAAAGCAGCAGGUUAAUACCCCGCUGUUCUGACGGUACCCAAAGAAUAAGCACCGGCUAACUUCGUG
Molecule: ribosomal RNA, 492 nt
Filed under: uncultured bacterium
Lineage: Bacteria
Description: partial 16S ribosomal RNA
Rfam family: Bacterial small subunit ribosomal RNA
Source: RNAcentral